Molecule: ribosomal RNA, 1033 nt
Filed under: Alexandrium catenella
Lineage: Eukaryota; Dinophyceae; Gonyaulacales; Pyrocystaceae
Description: partial large subunit ribosomal RNA
Rfam family: Eukaryotic large subunit ribosomal RNA
Source: RNAcentral
UUUAGUAAUUGCGAAUGAACAAGGAUAUGCUUAGCUUGACAAAUGGAGCUAUUGGCUUUGAAUUGUAUUGUGGAAAUGUAUUACCAACAGAGGUGCAGGUGCCAGCCUAUUGAAAUAAAGCGUCAAUGAGGGUGAGAAUCCUGUUUGUCAUGUGCAGCCCUUUGUGCACGGUGUAUAUUUGCUGAGUCACACUCCUUGGCAUUGGAAUGCAAAGUGGGUGGUAAGUUUCAUGUAAAGGUAAACAUGCAAUUGAGACUGAUAGCACACAAGUACCAUGAGGGAAAUAUGAAAAGGACUUUGAAAAGAGAAUUAAAUGAGUUUGUAUUUGCUGAACACAAAGUAAACAGACUUGAUUUGCUUGGUGGGAGUGUUGCACUUGCUUGACAAGAGCUUUGGGCUGUGGGUGUAAUGAUUCUUUCUUUGCAUGCCAGUUUCUAUUUGUACAUCUGAUUACCUUUGCACAUGAAUGAUAAGUCUCCUGUGGGGGGUGGAUUGCAUGUGCAUGUAAUGAUUUGUGUUUUGAUAAAUGUGUCUGGUGUAUGUGUGUGUUCCUGUGCUUGGGGAUGCUUCCUUCCUUGGACUUACAAGCCCUGACACACACAUGCUGGCAAAAUGCUUCUGCUUGACCCGUCUUGAAACACGGACCAAGGAGUCUAACAGAUGUGCAAAGUUUGAAGGUGGUAUACCUUUGUGUGCAAUGAAAGUGUCAGCUGGGAUAUGUGCACCAGCACCCAAUUAAUUAGCGGACAGAGGUUUGAGUUGGAGCAUAUCUAUUAGGACCCGAAAGAUGGUGAACUAUGCCUGAACAGAAUGAAUUCAGAGGAAACUCUGAUGGAGGUUCGUAUCGAUACUGACGUGCAAAUCGUUCGUCAUAUUUGGGUAUAGGGGCGAAAGACUAAUCGAACCAUCUAGUAGCUGGUUCCCUCCGAAGUUUCCCUCAGGAUAGCUGGAGUUGCUCAGUUUUAUCAGGUAAAGCGAAUGAUUAGAGGAAUUGGGGACAGGUUUGUCUUUGACCUAUUCUCAAACUUUAAAU